Molecule: ribosomal RNA, 253 nt
Filed under: uncultured bacterium
Lineage: Bacteria
Description: partial 16S ribosomal RNA
Rfam family: Bacterial small subunit ribosomal RNA
Source: RNAcentral
UACGUAGGGGGCACGCGUUGUCCGGAAUCAUUGGGCGUAAAGCGCGUGUAGGCGGCUCGGUAAGUCUGCUGUGAAAGUCCAGGGCUCAACCCUGGGAUGCCGGUGGAUACUGUCGAGCUCGAGUCCGGAAGAGGCGAGUGGAAUUCCUGGUGUAGCGGUGAAAUGCGCAGAUAUCAGGAAGAACACCCGUGGCGAAGGCGGCUCUCUGGGACGGUACUGACGCUGAGACGCGAAAGCGUGGGGAGCGAACAGG